CGUUUACGCAGCCCUGCUCAACGUACUGUGUGGCUUAGCUCCAGACUCCGGCCGGAGAUGUCGCUAUUCCCAUCGUAGGAGUUGAUCCGACUCUCAAAUAUUACAACGAGACUAGGCUUGGUCUGUAAUACGGGGCGCACGUUCGGGACGAGAGCCAAAAGACGAGCUGGUGGCUCUCUCCCACGCACUUGGCCUCGAGACGUCGCUGCCUCCAUGCAGUACGACGCUCUUAUCCGAACAGAUCUUUCUAUAGUCCGCGCAUACAAGCGUGACUCCAAAUCAUGCAGAACGUAAAUCUUAUUGUCUUGUCUGCACACUAAUGAAAAGAGGGAAAUGCAAAGACCGGACCCAAUGGUCGGUGUGACAUGGCACGCACGCUCACACGCCAGGACACGACAGCUGUCGCGCCCGUACGUGUGUAAACGGACAUUCUACGUGCCUACGCGGGACUCCCCCCCCAGUCAACAGCGUAUUGGAAAGACGCCGAGACUGCUACAAGUAGGCGCUAAGUUGAAAAACACGCAUAAAAAUCACACUUAAAAGAUGGAAACACUCACAACCGGACCGCCAGUGGUGCGCACAAAGGCACUCCGCGCCAUCACAGAUGCAAAGAUCACAAUCCACACACAAGUGCCACACGGAAUCACCACCAACUUCUGCUCCCGCUGCAUCGAACGCAACCACUUCAGGCGCGCCGAAUCAGCUUGCGUGACAUACUCCCAAGGCAACUUGGCAGCUACACACACCCUCGAAUGCUUGCUAGCCGCCGGCAGGGCAAUAUCUGCCAUCUCCGGGGAUACAUCUAGUAAAGCCACACCAUU
RNAcentral lists this long non-coding RNA (821 nucleotides) under Chlamydomonas reinhardtii. RNAcentral's name for it is "long non-coding RNA (CREI_LNC001390)". The record is from RNAcentral. Lineage: Eukaryota; Viridiplantae; Chlorophyta; Chlorophyceae; Chlamydomonadales; Chlamydomonadaceae.